Molecule: ribosomal RNA, 433 nt
Filed under: uncultured bacterium
Lineage: Bacteria
Description: partial 16S ribosomal RNA
Rfam family: Bacterial small subunit ribosomal RNA
Source: RNAcentral
AGCGAACGCUGGCGGCAAGCCUAACACAUGCAAGUCGAACGAACUCUUCGGAGUUAGUGGCGGACGGGUGAGUAACACGUGGGAACGUGCCUUUAGGUUCGGAAUAACUCAGGGAAACUUGUGCUAAUACCGAAUGUGCCCUUCGGGGGAAAGAUUUAUCGCCUUUAGAGCGGCCCGCGUCUGAUUAGCUAGUUGGUGAGGUAAAGGCUCACCAAGGCGACGAUCAGUAGCUGGUCUGAGAGGAUGAUCAGCCACAUUGGGACUGAGACACGGCCCAAACUCCUACGGGAGGCAGCAGUGGGGAAUCUUGCGCAAUGGGCGAAAGCCUGACGCAGCCAUGCCGCGUGAAUGAUGAAGGUCUUAGGAUUGUAAAAUUCUUUCACCGGGGACGAUAAUGACGGUACCCGGAGAAGAAGCCCCGGCUAACUUCGUG